UGCUGCCGCUGGAUGAGUGAUCGGCGGUUAGCGUAUUUUAGCUCACUCACAUUUGGAGACAUACCAUGUCAUUAAGCGCUGCUCAAAAAGCACAAAUCGUUGCUGAAUACGCUGUUAAAGCG
Alishewanella agri BL06 is the source of this 122-nucleotide non-coding RNA. Lineage: Bacteria; Pseudomonadati; Pseudomonadota; Gammaproteobacteria; Alteromonadales; Alteromonadaceae. The record is from Rfam.